GGAAGUAAAAUGAGAUCUCAAAUUUGCUUUAUUGAUGUCAAAUGUUGAGAAAGGUUGGAACUCUUUAGAUUUGGAGAUUGCUUCGUGGAGGCUUGUGCUGCAUUUUGUUGUUGAUCAAGGCUCCUGACCAGGUUCAGCUCCAAGGACAAGUUGACUAUCAUUGAUAUCAAACCUUAACAAACUAGCAACUCUUUUGAUGUGGGAAAGUGCUGCAAAAUCAUACCCAUGUUUCAAUUAUUUAUUGGUGAAUAUUUGAAGUGAUGCUAAGUGAAAACAGGGGAUUGAAAAAGGGUAGACGGUGUUAUUUAUGUUCGUAAAUUCUCAAAAACUCAUUUAGACUUUCUCCUAGAUGGUUGAGCUAUCAUUCAGGAUUUUUUCUCAUUCAGAGACGGUGGAUUAUUAUCGUGUUCUUGCUUUCCAAUACGCAUUGCAAUGUCAUUAUUUUUUUUUUUUAAAGAUGCAUAGAAUAUUAAAAUCUUGAUGUAUUAAAACAAGGCCGC
This 500-nucleotide unclassified non-coding RNA is filed under the name Hevea brasiliensis (rubber tree). Lineage: Eukaryota; Viridiplantae; Streptophyta; Magnoliopsida; Malpighiales; Euphorbiaceae. The record is from RNAcentral.